GACGAACCGUGCGAACGUUGUUCGGAAUCACUGGGCUUAAAGGGCGCGUAGGCGGGUUUUCAAGUCUGUGGUGAAAGCCCCCGGCUCAACUGGGGAGGGUCAUUCGAUACUGAUCGACUUGAAGGCAGGAGAGGGUAGUGGAAUUCCCGGUGUAGUGGUGAAAUGCGUAGAUAUCAGGAGGAACACCGAUGGCGAAGGCAGGUCUCUGGGCCAUAACUGACGCUGAGAAGCGAAAGCAUGGGGAGCGAACAGG
This 253-nucleotide ribosomal RNA is filed under the name uncultured bacterium. RNAcentral describes it as "partial 16S ribosomal RNA". It matches the Rfam family "Bacterial small subunit ribosomal RNA", at positions 524 to 776 of the family's 1533-position model. The record is from RNAcentral.